UCCAUGAAGUAGCUCAAAUGUGGGGCUGAUCUAAUGAGAUUUUCCCAGGUCCCCAAAUAGAGAUUAGCAUAUGAGGGGGCACAGGAAGUCCCCAUAGCUGUCCCCCUAAUUUGCUGAUAGAUGGUACCAUUAAAGAUAAAGAUAUUUCUUGUAAGGACCAUUUUAAGUAUGUUGGAAACCAAAUCUGUGUAUGCGACUGGAGUGUGCAAUUCAUGUUCAAGGAUAGUUCUGAUAUUAUCAAUUCCUUGAAUAUGUGGUAUGGAACUAUACAACGACUCCACAUCCAGACUGCAUAGAAGUGCUUGUUCCGGUAUGGAGAUAUCCUUCAAGAAAUUAAGCAUCUGUUUCGUGUCCCUUAUGUAAGAGGGUAAUUUUGCAACCAUAGGGGACAAAAUCUUAUCCAAAAAGAUGCUCAGAUUUUGGGUUAGGUUCCCACAACCUGAAACAAUUGGUCUACCUGAC
This is a non-coding RNA of Pelobates cultripes (western spadefoot toad), 462 nucleotides long. Lineage: Eukaryota; Metazoa; Chordata; Amphibia; Anura; Pelobatidae. The record is from the annotation of a GenBank genome assembly.